GACGAACGCUGGCGGCGUGCCUAAUACAUGCAAGUAGAACGCUGAAGGAGGAGCUUGCUUCUCCGGAUGAGUUGCGAACGGGUGAGUAACGCGUAGGUAACCUGCCUGGUAGCGGGGGAGAACUAUUGGAAACGAUAGCUAAUACCGCAUAAGAGUAGAUGUCGCAUGACAUUUGCUUAAAAGGUGCAACUGCACCACUACCAGAUGGACCUGCGUUGUAUUAGCUAGUUGGUGAGGUAACGGCUCACCAAGGCAACGAUACAUAGCCGACCUGAGAGGGGGCUCGGCCACACUGGGACUGAGACACGGCCCAGACUCCUACGGGAGGCAGCAGUAGGGAAUCUUCGGCCAUGGACGGAAGUCUGACCGAGCAACGCCGCGUGAGUGAAGAAGGUUUUCGGAUCGUAAAGCUCUGUUGUAAGAGAAGAACGAGUGUGAGAGUGGAAAGUUCACACUGUGACGGUAUCUUACCAGAAAGGGACGGCUAACUACGUG
RNAcentral lists this ribosomal RNA (495 nucleotides) under uncultured bacterium. RNAcentral's name for it is "partial 16S ribosomal RNA". It matches the Rfam family "Bacterial small subunit ribosomal RNA", at positions 28 to 507 of the family's 1533-position model. The record is from RNAcentral.